This 353-nucleotide ribosomal RNA is filed under the name uncultured bacterium. Its description in RNAcentral is "bacterial SSU rRNA". It matches the Rfam family "Bacterial small subunit ribosomal RNA", at positions 8 to 349 of the family's 1533-position model. The record is from RNAcentral.
AGAGUUUGAUCAUGGCUCAGGAUGAACGCUAGCUACAGGCUUAACACAUGCAAGUCGAGGGGAAACGAUAUUGGAAGCUUGCUUUCCGAUAGGCGUCGACCGGCGCACGGGUGAGUAACGCGUAUCCAACCUGCCCACCACUUGGGGAUAACCUUGCGAAAGUAAGACUAAUACCCAAUGACGUCUCUAGAAGACAUCUGAAAGAGAUUAAAGAUUUAUCGGUGAUGGAUGGGGAUGCGUCUGAUUAGCUUGUUGGCGGGGUAACGGCCCACCAAGGCUACGAUCAGUAGGGGUUCUGAGAGGAAGGUCCCCCANAUUGGAACUGAGACACGGUCCAAACUCCUACGGGAGCA